UAAUAAUAAUAUUAAUAGUUGUAACGAUAAUAUUGAUAAAGGUAACGAUAAUAUUCGAAGCGAAGGUAUAAAAAAAGAAAAACAAAAGGAUUAUUCAGACGAACCGAUCUACUUCAGAGCGUAGCCUAAACCUGACGAGUACAAAGGAAAAUAAAAAAAAGUGAAGAAAAAUUUACCCUAAAUACUUCCACUCCACAAAUUGACUAAACAAAUCUGUAGAAAAGAGAUAAAGAUUAAGAUAGAAACAAAAAGAUAAAGAUUAAACAUUUUGGAACAAUCGCUGAAUGCCUGUAUAAUAAACAUCCGCACCUGCACACCGCACGAGCCCACAAAUUAUACAUAUAUAUAUAUAUAUAUAUAUAUAUAUAUAUAUAUAUAUAUCUAUAGACACACACACACACGUAAAUUCAUAUAUAAAUUAUAAAGCGAACGAUCAGAGGCUGCGCGCGACUAUAUCCAAGAAUCUGAGUAGAGCGUCUGCGGAAAGUAAAGUAAGAUAAGAGGAAAGAGGAAAUUGCCAGAUGUCGUUGGUGCGGAGGUCCGAAUUUGACUCGCAACGAUUCGUACCUUGGAUGCGGUAAGGAGGGCGACGGGGGCGAAAGAGAGUUCGACAGAGGAGGUAUCGGGAGCGAAUAGGACGCAGCCUUGCCGCCUCCUCGACCAAAGGUGAACUCGCAGGGGGAGGAGAGGACGGCCGUAAGGAUGUGGCGGAGAAGAUGAGCGCCGACGUGACCAAGGAGGUCGCCUCCGAGAGGGUGAGCCCUCCGGCAGCCGCGACCUCGCCGAAUUCCGGUCCCGGCGAGACGGCCUCCCGCCACCUUCCGCCCUUCAGCAGCUUCGCCGACGGCGCCAUGGACAGCUCGACGACCCUGACGACCCUCCACCCCCAGGACGUGGGCCUCGGCCUGACCUCAUCUUGGGACUACUACGAGGGCCUCACCGGUCGGCUGAUCGACUCCCGGGGCGAGGUCGUCCUCGCCAGCCAGUACCGACCGUGGGAGUCGAAGAACGCGGCGGGGGGCGAGGGCCUCCCGAGUUUCGCGAGUCAGUUCACCGCCCCCAGCGAAGCCGAGCCCCAGCUCACCGCCCUGACACCCCUCUCCCCGGCCUCGGUAUCCCACUCGCCCCCCGUCACGGCCGUCGGUCUUCCCAGCUUCCACACCCUCGGCAGUCCCCUGCCCACCCCCCACCCCCACCGCGGGCCCGUCGGCUACCCCCUCGUCCCGGCCCCCGUUCAGGCCCGCGAGGUUCCGGCGCUCCAGCAGCAGCUACUGGACGAGAGGCACAUCCAGCUGCUCGGCUCGAACCCGGUGCAGGCCUUUCCGCCGCCACCCGGGCACCCCCAUCACGCCGUUUUGACCGUCGUUAAGCCGGAGUAUCCGCAGCUACAUCACACCAACUUUCAGAACCCGAUGUCGACGGUGCUCGACACGCCGACCUCGCGCGUCAACAUCGACGGCAGGAAGAAGGAGAGGAGAAAAAUUCGAGCCGGUUCCAUGGAGUCCGAGGACGGGGCCAACGUCGAGAGCUCCGGGCAGGUGGCUGCUGUUUCCUCCACCGCCAAUCGAGGACAGCAUCACAUCGGCGGCGGGAUCGGGGACGGGGACAGCGAGGGCGGACUCGGCGAUAAACCCGCCAAGAAGAAGCGGAAACGAUGCGGCGAGUGCAUCGGGUGCCAGAGGAAGGACAAUUGCGGGGACUGCGCCCCCUGUCGCAACGACAAGAGCCAUCAGAUAUGCAAGAUGAGACGAUGCGAGAAACUCACCGAGAAAAAGCACCUCUAUCACUUGCAAACAGGGGAUGGAGCAUUCAGGGAAAGAGGCCGAGGUAGAGGGAAAGGAACACCCAGGAGUUACCGAAAGAUCGCGCGCCAAGUCAGCACGCCGGAUACACCGACGGUUGGACUGGGUAGUCCUCAGGCAGGUAUUGGCGGCUUGCAACAGCAACAACACCCGCAGCAACAGGGACUCCACGUUGACGCCAUGCAGCAGGCCAAGGACAGUUUGUCACCCGCGGUUGUUCAGCAGUCCGGAGCUCUUCGCAACGGGAAUCCGGCGCCACCAGUUGUGUCAAUGUCGUCUGGGGUGAUGCCCGGAUUCUACGGAGACACUGGUGCGGGUUUCCGACCUGCAGCUGGAUUCGGAAACACAGUAUGGCACCAAGGAGUUGGUCCAGUUGGUGCAGUGACGGUGGAGGCUGCGCCAGCCGCCUGGCCUCCUCAGCAAUUCAUCCAACAAAUACCAGCGCCCAACCAGCUCGAAGAACUGAGAUAUCACACUCAGUACAGCGCUGCAACUCCGUACCAUCCACAACCUGAUCUUUAUUUGGUUUCAGUUGCCUAUCAGCAACAGGCGUUCAUUACCGCUGAUCAGUCGGCGUUUCAACGGGCAGGCACAACCGGACAAUACGCUAUUACCGGUCAACCGUCGCCUCUAGCACCAGUUGUGGCCCAAUCGGCAGCCACUACUGUUCAAAGACCUCUUAACGGUCAGUUUAUGGACCCGGCAUCAACGCCGGGUCAACCAGUCGGUUACGAAAGACAGGAAUACGUUAAUGGAUACCAACAGCAGGACGUGACAAUGGCUCCACCGCCAUCGACAACUCCAACAAGUCGUAGUAGCUCGGUUCACAUGGAUACCCAACCGAAUCAGCAAAGUCAGCAGUUACAACAGCAGCAACAACAGCCGUCGUCGGACACGCAAGUAAAAGGCUUUGCCGCGAUCGCCGCCGGCAGCGUGUCGGGAAACGAGAUGCCUGGGUAUCUACUUCAACAGGGCCCGCAGAGUUUACACAGCUCUAACGGAUAUCCAGGCUACGUAGAAAUGGGUCAACAACAAGCGCAAAAUCAAUGGCAGACUCAGGUCACGCAGCAGCAACAACAACAACAACAACAACAACAACAACAGCAACAGCAACAACAACAACAGCAACAGCAACAGCAACAACAACAACAGCAACAACAGCAACAACAACAACAGCAACAGCAAAUGCAGCAGCAGACUGUGUCCGAUGCUAAUCAACGUCAUAUAUGGUCAGACACUAAUUCGAAUGCAAAAAUUGGUAACGUUAAUAGUAUGACGUGGUCUGACAAUAGCCUACAGCAACAACAAAGCCAGCAACAGCAACAACAGUUACAAACGCAACAACAAGAGCUUCAGAACCAACAACAAAGACUGCAAAAUAGUUUGAAACAGCAGAGUGAGCAACAAGCUCUACAAAAUCAACGACAACAGCAGCAAAUACAAAAUCAGCAACAGCAACAGCAGAGUCUACAAAAUCAGCAAGAGCUUCCAAGGCCAGCAAGUCAUAUGAGCUGGGAAAAUAGCAGUAUUAAGGAGCCGCAGACUCCCCAAUCUUGGUCGGAAGGUACCGAUAAUCAGCAACAGGCGCAGGGGAAUUGGCCACAACAAAGUCCUAAGCACAGAGACAACAAAAAUCCAAGGUUGACGCCGUCCACUCAGCAGCAAAGUCAGCAGGGUUGGCCCCAGCACUCUCCAAAGGUGUCUGAUCAUCAAACACAGCAGCAAAAUUCCCGAAUCACACCGACUGCUCAACAUAACUGGCAGCAAAGUAGUCCUGAGAAUCAGAAUCAGCAGCCUGGUCAACAGAAUCCAAGAUUAACGCCGUCUGGGCAGCAGAUGCAACAGCAACAACAGCAGCAACAGCAACAACAGUGGCAACAAUCGAAAAUUGAACAAAAUCCAAGAUUGACUCCAUCCAAUCAAAUGUCGUGGCCGGAUACACCAACUAGUCAACCGAACUGGUCACCGAGUAGUUUGAAGAGCGAUGGUAGUCAGCAGCCGCAACAACCAUGGCCAGAUUCUCAACCUAGUCCAAGGAGAACUCCCGGGCAUCAGACGGGUUCGUGGCAGAGUCAAGCGUCGCAAGAUAAUAAGAUGGAAACCCAAAUGAAUUGGUCGCCAAAUUCAACGGCAGAGAAUCAAGGUACUUGGGGACAACAAACGACGAAACAGGAUAUUCAAAAUUCUGGAGAAAGAAUUUUGUGGCAGCAGGGACCAGAAAGUAAUAAGCAAAAUGGUUUUCCGGAAAACCAAGAGCCACAAGACAAUAUGUUUUCACAAUCUAAUAGAGUUAAUUUAAACAGUCGAUUGAAAACUAUGAUUCUGAAUAAACAGCAACAACAGAUGCAACAGCAGCAGCAGCAGCAGCAGCAGCAGCAGCAACAGCAAAUGCAGCAGCAUCAGAUAAAUCAUCAAGAGCAGCAACAGCAACAGCAACAGCAUCAUUUGCAUCAUCAGAUCGGCCAACAUUCUAACGGAAGUAAUAACCCUAAUACUGAUUUUCCAACGGAUGAUAGACUUAGAGAACCAAAUGAAAGUGCUGAAAAGUUACAGGAAAAACGAUCAGGAGAAUAUUUGAACCAAGCAGCCAUGAUGUCUAUGGCACAAACUAAUGAAUCUAUGACCGGUAAUUUUUUAUUGCAUAGCCACCACCCUCGGGCCAAUAGUUUGCCCGACGGUGGUGGCUUAUGGGAGUGGACUGGAGGAGGAGGAAGUAAUGUGAGUAAUAGCACGUUGUUGCCGGAAACGGGAAUAGCUGCUAUUGAAAAUUUCAUGAAAUACGCAAGCGUUGAUAAAGAUGAGUCGGAAAAACCAGUGCCAGUUGAGGAACGACAUUCAUCCUGGACCGAACCAAAGACUCCAAAGGUUCCAGAUGAUGAGAAUAUUGAUGAUAAGUCGUUUCAACAGCGACUGUGUAUUGGUCAGAAUACCGAUGAUAUAUUUCCAAAAGAAGAAAACCAAGAUGAGACUUUCAAAAAACAAGAAGAUCCCAAAAACGAUAAAAAUGACAUUGAACCUGCUUUUGACAAAGAUUCUAGCGCUACUCAAGAAGAACAGACAUUCGAGGUGGAAAGUCUAGAAGCUUCGCCAACCUUCCGGACAGAAAAUAUUGAUGACGAGGUCAAGUACAACUCGGAGCAAGUCAUUAAGCAGGAAGUUGUGCCACACAGUUGUUCGCCUUUAGAAAGCACAGUGGAGUGUUCAACGAUGGAAAAUGAUAUAACGCCAAGUCUCGAUGCGAUAGUGAAGACUGAGCCUGAUCAAAAAUCCGAAAUGUCGGAAAUUAAUUAUAAGUUCAGGGGUGACGGGGGACCAGCAAUGGUGUCAUCGGAAAUUGGCUCGUGGUGCUGUAGAAGAGGUGGUACCGAACAACCGACACCCGAACAUUUGCGAGAAGGUUGUUGCCAAGGAUUGCAGACCCGCGAUGAAAUUUUGGCAGAGCCACCGCCAAAAGCAAACGGGGCACAGGAGGUGAAAAGUGAAGGACCCAACAGUCCUAGAGCACCGUCGACACCUAAGUUACAGGACCAUUUGGAUAAGCUCAAGAAUAAUGUUAGGACCGAAGUGCCGGACUGCAACUGCUUUCCAGCUGACAAAUUUCAACCAAAAGGUCCACCCGAACCCGGUUCGUACUACACGCAUCUUGGUGCUGCAGCGAAUCUUUCCGAUCUUCGAAAUGACCUUGAAAGAAGAACUGGACUGAAGGGAAUUGCUUUAAGAUUCGAGAAAGUCAUCUACACUGGGAAAGAGGGCAAAACAACACAAGGAUGUCCAAUGGCCAAAUGGAUAAUCCGCCGUUCUGGUCCUGACGAGAAGAUCUUGACUGUAGUAAAACAUCGCCAAGGCCACAAGUGCGCAACAGCCUGGAUUGUUGUUGCUAUGGUUGCAUGGGAGGGUGUACCGACACACGAGGCUGACAGGAUCUAUUCGCUUUUGAGCCACAAACUGAACCGUUUUGGUCUUCCUACAACCAGAAGGUGUGGAACUAACGAACCAAGGACUUGUGCCUGUCAGGGUCUGGACCCAGACACGUGCGGAGCCAGUUUCUCGUUUGGUUGUUCGUGGUCAAUGUACUACAACGGAUGCAAAUAUGCCAGAAGUAAAACCGUCCGAAAGUUUCGUCUCUCUGUGCGAACUGAGGAGCAAGAGGUAGAGGAGCGAAUGCACGUUUUGGCAACUCUGUUGUCUCCUCUUUAUCUAAGUCUUGCUCCGGAAGCUUUCAACAAUCAAACGCAAUUCGAACGCGAAGCAAGCGAAUGUCGACUGGGAUUUAAACCGGGACGACCAUUUUCCGGGGUCACAGCCUGCAUUGACUUUUGUGCACAUUCGCAUAGAGAUUUACACAAUAUGAACAAUGGUUGCACUGUGGUCGUGAGUUUAACAAAGCAUCGAUUGCUGACUAAACCAGAUGAUGAACAGCUUCAUGUCCUUCCACUAUAUAUCAUGGACGAAUCAGACGAGUACGGCUCAAAAGAAGGUCAAGAGGAAAAAGUUCGGUCAGGAGCAAUCGAAGUCCUGAGCAAGUAUCCCUGUGAGGUAAGAGUUCGGUCUGUACCCCUCCAGCCUUGUAGACGUCAUGGGAAAAAGCGAAAAGAAGACGAACCAGACGCAGCUAGUAACAAGAAAGACACGGGGAAAAACGCUACUGAAAAAACAAUUGAACCAACGAGACCUACAGGACACCAGGAGGCCCAUCGAACAGCCGUCAGAGAUUCAUCGCUUUCCUUAGAAAUGGCAACGAUGCUUGAAGGGAUGGAUGCUCAGCUGCAAAGUUCUCAAGUGUCUUCAACAGUGUUAGAUAGUCCAGUCUCAAUGUACCAGGGAUGGGGCUACCAAGGAGAUCAACAAUGGGCGAGAAGCGGUUGGCUUGACCAACGGAAAAACAACUGGCUCAACCCGUGGGGCGAUUAUCCUUUCAGUGGACUAGAACGAGACGUUAAAGUUGACCCGGAUAGCACAAGCUUAGAUGACACUAGACCGAGGAGCGCAUUUGCCCAGGAAGACAUGAGACCAGGAUCCAGAAAUUUUCCGAAUUCAACGGUAGAGUCGCCAAGAGGAAGCUAUUCUCUUUCACCAAGAGGACAUCAUCCUGUUUCACCUAGAAGUUCAUACCCGAAUACUUCCGGUGAAGCUUCGUACUCCAUGUCUCCUAGAGGGUAUCCAUCAACACGACAAGAAGAGAAAAUGGGAUCUCCUAGAAGUUCUGGUUAUCCUUGCAGCGCAACUCCAGGCGAGGGGAAUCACAAUUUUGGCUCCCCAACCCUAAGGAAUUAUCAAAAUUCGAGUUUGGACAACAGGCAAGCGACCGCAUCGCCGCGGGCUGGCUCUCACCACUCUUCACCGUAUCCUGAUGUGGUGCAAAGAAAUAUGUCACCUAGAGUAGGAUAUCAGGCGGCGCCUUUAUCAUCUCUUGAAGCCGCGCACGGUAGUCAAUCACCUAGCCUUGCAUAUUCAAAAAAUUUGCAGCAGAAUUACAUAGAGGGUAAUUGUCAGUUGAAGUUAACAUCACCAAGGAUGCAAAAUAAUGUGCACCAGCAAAGGUAUCAAAGUUGCAGCAUGGAAAAUCAGCAAGCAUCUAAGUUACCAUCACCGGAACAACAGAUCGAUCGUAACCAAGCGUUUGCAAAUAGAUUACAGCACAAUUUUGCCUCACAACAAACACCGCCGUCUUCCAGAACCAUGGGUUAUAGAAACCCCAACUUGAAUCCUGUCAACCCUCAGGAUUUAUUUUCGGGGACUUCUGCUGGUAUGUCUACAACCUGCAUAGACACGAGUGGUCACAAGCCUUUGUCGAAUUCAAGGAGCAGUUAUCCAGGUAUGCAGAAUCCUGAAUUCAUGCCGCAUAGUCCUUUGCUCAAUAUACCAUCAUCUGAAGGUCAUCACCCUCAGAAUACCAUGGGGUCAUCCUCAGAGUCAAAAAAAUCUUACGCAAAGAGUGGAUUACACAGACAAUCAGAUCUGACACGAACAGCUGCUAGCCCCUUUGUUCCUGCAUCUCCAGAUCACAAUGCUUCCUGUGGUAAUAUCAGUAGUAACAAUAAUUGGAAUACUCUUAACAACUGGGGAUCAAAUACAGUUAAACCACCUGAGCACCAGACACCGCAUCAUCAUAACGAAUCGCACAUGGAGCAGCAGAAGAACUCGCAAUUGUGGCAAGAACGAGCGGUGCAUAACGAAAAUCUAAAAACACCGUCUUGGGAAAUGCAGGUACAGGAACCUUCACCGUUCCGCGUACCCAAAGGUAGACCACCUUCGAGAACGGCGCCGAAUCAAAAUUUGCAGGAGGCAAACACCUUCCAGAACUCAUUUGCUAAGACAUUCCUGAAGCCGCAGGAACCAACCAAGAGUAAUCCGUACACCGAUAAUAGCAGUAACUACAAUAAUGUUCCGAAUAAUAGCAACGUCCCAAAUCACGAGAAGCAGCGAAGCGAUUGGCCAGAAGAUAAAUUGCGAGAAGGUUUUCACGAUGCCAGACAAGAGGAUCCCAAUACAAACUCGAGCUGCUUAGCUUGGGCCGAAGAGAUGAAGCAGAUUCAAGAUUUCCAUGCUAUAUCCGGCCUUGGACAUCACCCCUUUUCUCAGUACGGCUACCCUACUUAUCCUGUAUUCGACAAGCCAUACCCUAACACCUGGGAUGGCUAUAACUACCACCAACCAUAUCAUCAGACGCCAGAAUACCCCCAUCAAUUUUACCAACAGCCAAAACGAGAGCCGUGCUUCCACUCCCCGCAAUAUCCUUAUCAAGGGAUGAACCCCUACCAAGGAAUGAAUCCGGGAUGGGCAAGGUGGGAGACACCGCGAUGGGAUAUUUAUGGUCCUCCGUCUUAUUUUCCUGUGGUACCAGAGCCGCCUCCGAAAGCAGAACCUCUCGGUGAGGUGACUGAUUUUUCGGACAAUGACGAAUGUUUCAAAGACCCUCAGAUGGGUGGCGUUGCUAUAGCACUUGGACACGGAAGCGUUCUAUUUGAGUGUGCUAAGCAUGAAAUGCACGCGACAACGGCGCUCAAAAAACCGAACAGAAUUAAUCCAACUAGAAUCAGCCUUGUAUUUUAUCAACAUCGUAAUCUCAACAGACCAAGGCACGGGUGGGAUGAAUGGGAAGAGAAAAUGCGACUGAGAAAACUCGGCGUAACUGCUACGACAACCCAGUCAACACCAACGACACCGACAAGUCCUAGCUCAGCGAGCAGCGAGAAACUUCCACCUUUACCUUAUAUUCCCAGUGUUCCAAGCUCUCAGUUCAUGAUGAGGUCACCGACGUACACUACCAUGACGUGGACGACGUUGUUUCCGAUGCAUCCGUGUAUGAUAACCGGGCCAUAUCAAGAGGGUGGAGCGAUUGGAUGAGUAAAUGAUCAAACAAAGUAGAGUUCAAGUAACUGUUAAUGGUUGUUUCAAAAGCUUGGAUCAUGCGUUCGGAGGUGAAAACAAGUAACAGGACAGACACGAAUACCGCUGACGAUGUGUCAGAAAGAGAAUGAUAGAGAGGAGGAGAAAGAGAUUACUGUGCAGUAACAACAACAACAAGGAUCUGAGAUACUGCACAAUCACAUUUUCGAAAGAAGGAUAGUGAAGAAAAAAGUAAACAAGAAAAACAAAACAACACAAGAAAAUGAUCUCAAGUUUAUUAAUUACGGUAAAUGUUUUAUUUUUUAGCGUUUGUACAUUGUGCUUGUUAUUUCGUAUUUAUUAGUACGCACUCUGCACUAAACAUACAUAUAAUGAGUAUAUGAAGUAUGGUUAUAACAUAUGAAGUAUACAAAAAAUAUAUGAAAAUAAUUUAAAAACGACGGUAAAAAGGCAAAAAAAAAAAAAAAUACUAACCGCUCGCUAAGAGGCGACUGAGUACAAAGCAUUUUUUCUAACAAUCAUGAGUGAUAUUAAGAGAAAAAAAAAAAGAAAACAAUAUCUUUGAAAGACAAAAAGAAAAAAAUUAAAAAGUACCUAUUAAAUCGUACUACAUACUAUUGAGUGUUGUAAAACGAUUCCUGCUGCAAAUCUUGAUGCGGCAACGCAAGUGUUGACCAGUUUGGAACGUAUUUUAUUUUUUAUUGCUUCCAAAUAUUUAUAACGUACUAAAUGUUGCUUACGUGACGUAUCAUGCGUACAAGAAGUGUUGAAAGGAAAACAUUUUCGAGUCAGCCACACUCUUAAUAAAUGACUCAAAUCUACAUUGAAGAAGCUCAUAAUAUGACGAAAUUGAUCGUAUCUCAAAUUACAUGAAAAAAUAAUUACAAUUUUUUAAAACUAAAUCUAAUUUAUAUAUUAUUUGAAAUUUGUAUAUACUCUAAUUUAAUAGGUCGCAUUUGAUUUCAGACCUGUAUUAUUCAAUGAAUUUUUUCCAGCGAGCAAAAUAUGUAUUUACCAUUGCUUAGCUAAAUUCCAACUAUUUAUUUAUUAUUUUAUUAUAUACCUAUUGUUUUGACUUUUAGGAAAAUUUAGUAUGAUUUUAAAUGAUUUCUAGAUCGACAUUUUACAACAAUUAUAUACUAUUGUACUAUCAUUAUAAUUAUCAAUUAUUCUGACUAUUAAUUAAUAAUAUUAUAUCAGAUAAGUACUGAUUGAGUAUAAAGUUAGGAUGUUUUUUCUUUUUUCUUUUAUCGAAUUCACUUCUCGACACGCGGUGUACGCGAACCCGGAAAUCGGAACCGCCCUCGAGUAUUAUAAGAAUCACUAAUAUAUUAUCAUUCAUUAUUGUCACAAUAAUAAUUAGUAAUACAAUGUAAUUUAAUUAUUUAUUGAUUAAGUUUGACAAAGUGUUAUUGUACUACUAUGUUUAGCUAACUAUAUGUAUACAUAUUACAUAUUUUAUUACGAAACACUGAUGCUAGAGUGUGUAACAUGUAUUCCACUGUUGUUACUUUGGCUUGGUGAUCUCGUCAUUUUUAAGCAUUCGACUCUUGCGCAUGUGUAUGAACCAACGGAAAUUAUGUCUACCAUCUUAUAGCGUCAGAGUUUGGUACAAUCUAUUCCAAAUUUUUCUGUAAGGUAAGUUGAUUAAUUUUUGCGGAAGAUAUGAGGACGGACAGAAAUAUUCACAACAAAAUACUCGAAUUUUUUGUUUUGUUCGUUUUAUUCCGAUUUAGUCAAUUAAUAUUACUAGUUUGAAAAACGAAAUAUAUGUUAUAUGAUAACAGAGACUAUUUUUUUUUUCUCCAACUUUUACUCUCCGCGUUGAAUUUUACAUCUCCAGAAUUUUGGUUUCACGGGUAUUGUAUGUGUAUAAGUAUCACAGGGAGGCACAAAUACAAUUUACGAAUAAUUUCUCCUCUUUUCAGUUUCUCGAAUGAUGAAACACGGCUUUAAAAUUAUAUCGAAUAUAUUGUGCCAUCGUGGUAUUACAUUCGUUUAAGAAAAAAAAAUUUAAUUUGAAAUUUAAAUUGCCUUUGGAUCGUCGUGGCGUAAGAUUACUGACAUUUUUCGAAAAAUAUUUUGGUCAUCUUUUUAUCGGCUUAUAGAUUUAACGUCAUACGUCAGUCUUGCGAUCAAACUUUCUGACAUUUUCGUGUGGUAUCGAUGAUGAAAUGUUUCUAAUUGAACAAAUUUUCUACCACAUUGAUUUUGGUUUUCAAAUUCCACGUGCGUAUCAUGAAACGUUUUUAAACCAGUUUACAUGUAAAUAAAACAAAGAAGAGGGAGUGCGCAUCCCAGCUCCGAAAUCGCAGAGAGUUAUUGAACAAUUUUUGUAAAGAAAGAUAAAAAAAAAACAUGCAAAAAUGAAAGAGAAACAAAUCGAGAAAUAAAUGCGACGAUGCCAAAAUAGAGUUAAAACUAAUAAUUAGAAAGUAAAUACUUGUAAUAAGAACAAUAUAAAGUAACACUAUCAAAGCUAAAGAUAUGUAAGAAUGAAAUCAUUUUUAAAGUAAUACUAUUAUUAAAAGUAAUUAAAAGAAAAUAAAAAAUAUGAUUGAAUAAAAUCGAACGAGAAAGCAAAGUUGAAAAAUGUAUUUUUCCUUCCAAUGCCAAAAAGAUGCCAUUUUGUUUUGUACGAAAAAAUUGACGAAAAAAUCACGAAAAAAAAAAACUUUAAAAGAUCGGUAAUGAUAAAUAAUAUUAAUAAUUGAUAAAAGGUAUUGAAAACCCAUGUAGUUUUUAGCAAACGUAUGUAAGUGUAAGAGAAAAUUUGAUGUGUAUGUCUCGUGAAACAAACGUAAAACAUGUCCGCCUUAUAUGCAAAUAAAAUAAAUAAAUUUAAAAAAAGAAAAUGCAAAUAAAAAAAAAAAAAAAAAAAAACAGAAUUCAUAACAGGAAAUAAUAUAGCUGUUAGUUUACAAUAACAGAGUUUGUGAUUAAAAGAAGAAAAAAUAGUAAUGUAUCAGAUCCGUAUCACGGUUACACUUUGCCAGCUGAGAUUCGAAAAUUGCAGGAUGUUUGAAUGGCGGUCCAUAACGUAUCCUUGCGAUCUGAUCCUGCGAUUUUUAAGUCUGACAAAAAUACCUUGCAGAUAUCCCUUCAGGGCGUAUAUAAUAUACCCAUAUAUACAUGCAUAUAUAAAUAUAUAUAUAUAUAGUAUUAGGCAUAGUUUCUAUUUACAUAUGUGUACAUAUAUUUUUGGACAAAAACGUAAGAACAAUUUCAUUGGACAAAAAAUGAAUAAUAAUGCAAAUUAAGACAUCAAAAAAAUUAAACAUCAUUGCCGCGGCAAGUCGAGGGAAGCAUUUUGCAGCGAGGAAUUAACCAUACGAUUUUUUCUAAAAAUUCUCAAACUUUGUGCUUUACUAUCUGAUGCAAUGAUCAACUAAUCCCGAGAUCCGCUUGAAUAUCACACAUUCAAGAUUUAUUAAUUAUUGUUGUAUACAUCGAGGUACAUAACGUCGAAACUAUAUGGAUAAAUUUUCUGGUUUAUAUCCGUCGGAAUCAAAUGAAAUUAGACAAUGGUGGCAAAAGACGAAAUAUACAUUUUUUAUAAUAUACUAUACACACACGUACAUGCGAUUAUUCAUAAAUUUAAGGGAUUAGAUCUUGAUUGCCGGUGGUAUCGUGGUGACAAUUUGUUUUUUUUUGUUUUUUUUUUCAUUAACGUUUUUUUUUUUGCUAUUUACUUUAACAUUUUUGUACUAUCGUGGUUAUAUUAUUAUUGCCGUCUCCCAUUCUCAAAUGCAUGAUUCGUUGACUUAGAUGUAUUUACGAGUAUUUAUUUAUACAUAUUAAGCGAAUGAAAAUCUAAUAUAUAUUUAACGAAUAAAGGAACGUAAAAUAUAAAGUAAGUUUUUUUAAUAUAUUUAUAAAACGUUUGGUUUACUAUAUUAUUGACCUAAAAAAAAUAGUAUAAUUAUUAUGAACGUGAGACGAAAAAAUUUAAGCAAUUGACAAAAAGACUCAUUUUUGAAGUAAAUUAAAUUAUUAACAUCGUAAAAUUGAUAAGAUAUAAAUUAAUUGACUAAGAAAAAAAAAAACGAAUGAAAAUGUUUCUGCGU
This 13219-nucleotide unclassified non-coding RNA is filed under the name Neodiprion lecontei (redheaded pine sawfly). Its description in RNAcentral is "dNA N6-methyl adenine demethylase, transcript variant X5". The record is from RNAcentral. Lineage: Eukaryota; Metazoa; Arthropoda; Insecta; Hymenoptera; Diprionidae.